UUAUCUACUCAGUCGUCUUUCGGAUUGUAUUUAAAAAUCUGGAACACCUUAGGAUUUUUACAAAAUAAAGUGUGCUGUGACAGUUACGAUAAUUGGUAGUUAAUUCACUCACAAUUUUUGUGUUGCUGCUACUCAAGUGCUAAAAAAGAUUUGAAGGAAAAAUGAAAAAACGAAAAUCAAAAGCACAGAAGAGACAAUAUAAACUCAAGCAAAUGGACAUAGCAUCUCAAGCACAUUCUACAACUUUGACCGGCAAAGAACAUGCAAGUUCGGAAAGUGACAAGACAAGAAAAAAAAGUCAGGAGGCAUCAGAAGCUGGCACUUUCGAUACAGAAAAAAUGAGACAGAUGAGUGUAGAAAGCAAUUAUUGCACAAAUGAUAUUCAGCAAAAUAUCGGCGAUUCUCAAAGCAGUUUCGAAAGCAGUGAAGAAGAUGCAAAUGCAAUAACACCUAGAAUGGAAUAUCUCAUGCAUCCGUUUGAUUCCGCAAUGUCAAGGAAGGAAAUUAGAAAAAUGGCUAUUCAAAAGAUGAAACAACUUGGCUACGCAGUAAUGAUUACAAAACCAGGAAAGUUUGCAAAGAAAUAUGCUUUUUCAGCACCUUAUCAUUUAUUUUUCACGAGAGUCGAAAAUUCCGAAGAGACUUAUAAUCAAAAGUUCUCCAUAACUUUUUCUGAGAUUCUCGACCGUAGUCUUGGAGAAAUUGUUAAUAGUCUACAUUUAACUUUUAUGGUAGAUGAUACAUGGUUGUAUUUGCAGUAUUUGUUGGCUGGCCAACGUACCGACAUGACAAUUUUGUGCAAACAUAGAAUACAUAAUGAAAAAUUAAAUGAAAACGUUACUAUAAUAAAUGUAAACCAGCGUGAUCAGUUCUCUAGUCAUCAUACGAACAUCACAAUCCUGCAAUAUAGAAAUGGGCUUAGGGUGAUUGUCUCUACUGCUAGCUUACAUUCUAUCGAUUGGGUAAAUAGGACACAAGGAUUGUGGAUCUCGCCUCAUCUGCCUUAUCUGCCCGAAUCCGCAAAUCCUAAUGAUGGGGAAUCUAAAACGAAUUUUAAAAAGGAUCUUGAGCUAUAUCUGAGUAAAUAUGAACAACCGACUUUGACGUCGUGGAUACGUGCAGUGCGGAUGGCGGAUUUUUCUGAUAUAAACGUGUUUCUCGUCGCUUCUGUUCCCGGAAUUUAUAAAGCUGUCGAAGCCGACCUUUGGGGAUACAGGAAAUUGGCACACGUUCUAUCGCGCUAUGCCACAUUACCGUCAAAUGCACAAUGGCCUAUAGUCGCACAAAGUUCUGGUAUAGGCUGCUUUGGUUCAAAUUUCGAAAAUUGGUUGAAAGACAUAACUUGGUGUAUGUCGGAGGGGACUUCUAAAGGUUCAAAGAAUCAACCACAAUUUCGGAUUAUUUAUCCGUCAAUAGAGAAUUAUAAGCAAAGCUUUGAUUAUCAAGAUUUCAUUACCCCCUUGUCGUACAGAGCAGAAAAUCAUUCUAAGCAACAGUGGCUAAAAUUAUACUUAUAUCAAUGGAAAGCUAAGCGAACAGGACGAGAUCGUGCGAUGCCUAAUAUUAAAUCCUACACAAGGAUUUCGCCCGAUUUGAAAAGAAUUCCCUGGUUUGUGCUCACCAGCGCAAAUUUGAGCAAAGCCGCAUGGGGAUCAAUCAAACAAUACAAAGGUUACAAUAUAGGAAACUACGAGGCCGGUGUCAUAUUCAUACCAAAAUUUAUCACUGGGACAACAACAUUUCCUAUUGGGGAAGAAGAAGAUACAGGCGUUCCAGUAUUUCCAAUCCCAUACGAUCUUCCAUUAAGCCAAUAUAAUUCGGGCGAUAGUCCUUUCGUCAACGAAUUUGUCAACUCUACACACUGAGUAAAUAUUGCGUCAAAUGGCCGAAGUGCACAUAAUACACGAUUUCAAGCAUGAUUGGUGGUUCAUCUUUUAAACUGUACUUACAUGUCCCUUUGUGCACUUAUUUAACUUGAGUUAAAACUUGAGUUCAAUCUUAAAGUAACUAAUUUAAUUUUAUAUCAAACUGGAUUGCGCGCGAUGAAUCUCACGUGGGUCAAACAGGUCGUAUGCUAAAAACAAGAAUUAGUGAACAUAGGAAUCAUGUAAAAUGGAACAUCGCAACAUUUAGCAAUUACUGAGAACACUGACAGGAAUUGUAAUAUGAGUUUAAUUGGGACAAUAUAAAAAUUCUUGACAAUGAAAGUUUUUUAAGCAAACGUCUAAUAUCGGAAAUGAUUUUUAUACACAAACAGAAAAAUGAUUUAAAUUUACAGAGUGACACGGAUCUUUUAGAUCUUAUAUAUACUUCUUAUUGACUAAGUCUUGAUGCUUCCACCUCUUCACUCAAAGUAUAUAAGAUGUCCUCUAGUAUUGUGGUUCGACGUAGCUUGUUAUUUGAUCUAUGAUAAGUGUACAAAUAGAUGUAACAUCACAAGAUAAUUAUACCUAGAAGAUUUGUAUUAAAUUUUGUAUUCUAAUGCACAUCAAUCGGACUGUCUCUUUGAUGUUUGUUUCGACAACUUACUUACCAACAUCGUUCUAAUGGUUACGAACAAUCGAAACAAUUUUCUCACGGCGACUUAACAUAUAUUUAUUUUUAAAUUGUAUCACUAUUAUUAACUAAAUUGACAAGAUUGUCUUUCAAUUAUGUAUAAAUUAUCUUAUCUUAUUCGUUGAAGAGGACUCUAACUGUGGAUCGAAACAUUUGAAUUUUCGUUGUAAAUAUUGUAAUACAUAAUAAA
Molecule: RNA transcript, 2746 nt
Organism: Mycetomoellerius zeteki
Lineage: Eukaryota; Metazoa; Arthropoda; Insecta; Hymenoptera; Formicidae
Gene name: probable tyrosyl-DNA phosphodiesterase
Exons: 7
Source: RefSeq, a predicted model, not a curated record